Molecule: long non-coding RNA, 219 nt
Filed under: Elaeis guineensis (African oil palm)
Lineage: Eukaryota; Viridiplantae; Streptophyta; Magnoliopsida; Arecales; Arecaceae
Description: long non-coding RNA (EGUI_LNC017214)
Source: RNAcentral
CCAUAUACCUGAGCUCCAUCUUCUGAAGAUAGGCUUCAGUGUUUAGUUGGCUAAGUGACUUGAGCCUAUCACAUUCUAUAUUGAGUUUACUCUCCUUACCUCCGUAUAUUUCUACUUGAGGUAAUCGUGUAUAUCCCUGCUCUAUGUACAUAGACUUCUGAUGAGACCUUGGCUUUUUAGCAAAGGCUAUGAAUCAUUAUCUUUGCAGUACAAUAUCAU